This 382-nucleotide ribosomal RNA is filed under the name uncultured eukaryote. RNAcentral describes it as "partial 18S ribosomal RNA". It matches the Rfam family "Eukaryotic small subunit ribosomal RNA", at positions 592 to 975 of the family's 1831-position model. The record is from RNAcentral.
CAAUAGCGUAUAUUAAAGUUGUUGCAGUUAAAAAGCUCGUAGUUGGAUUUCUGGUGGGAGCGAUCGGUCUGGCGCUUAGCGCGAGUACUUGCAUCGUCUCCGGCCAUCCUUGGGGAGAGUCUGUCUGGCAUUAGGUUGUCGGGCAGAGGAUCCUCAUCGUUUACUGUGAAAAAAUUAGAGUGUUCAAAGCAGGCUUAUGCCGUUGAAUAUAUUAGCAUGGAAUAAUAAGAUAGGACUUUGGUACUAUUUUGUUGGUUUGCGCACCAAAGUAAUGAUUAAUAGGGACAGUUGGGGGUAUUCGUAUUCCGUUGUCAGAGGUGAAAUUCUUGGAUUUACGGAAGACGAACUACUGCGAAAGCAUUUACCAAGGAUGUUUUCAUUA